Long non-coding RNA from Cyprinus carpio (common carp), 381 nucleotides. RefSeq lists it as uncharacterized. The record is from RefSeq and is a predicted model, not a curated record. NCBI's taxonomy places the organism in Eukaryota, Metazoa, Chordata, Actinopteri, Cypriniformes, Cyprinidae. The transcript has 3 exons.
CGAGCGCUUAUUGGCUUGCUAUACCUGAGAGAAGAGAAAGGCUGCUCACGCUGUCGGUGUGUGUAUGAAAAAGAAAAACCGCCGUAAUCGAGAACUGCGCCAACCUAAUUUCCGUGUCAGGAGGAAAAUAAAACGAAUCCUCGCACAUUACAUCUGUGACGCAGUAGUCAUUUCACAGGAUGUUACCAGGGGAUGCCAAUGCGCCAUCUGCCAGUCUGCCUGACGGGAAUAACAGAUGAGAGAGGGAAAAGGGGAGGAGGAAGAAAAAGAGUGUGCUCUCAGUGUGCUGCUCUCAGUCUUCAGAUUUUGGCAUCAGUGGCAGGUGCUCAGUGCGCCAUGACAUGGAGGUAUUCAAGGGAAAUAGACCUAAUUAUGUGUUUU